AUCGUCAUCUCAACUCUUCGACAUCUCAUCUCUUCGUCAGGCUAUGAAACUCUUCGAACCUCAUCUCUUAGUCUUUUCUCCUUCUUGAACGUAUGGAUCAAACCAUUCAUGAGUGUGCAGUGAAUCCUCUAGAGAUCUCAUUAAUGGGUUCCUUUCGCCUAUCUUUCUCUGAGUUUCUUUAUAACCAUCAUAUUUUCCCCACAUUUCUUACACACAAACUCUUUCAAGCCAUGAAUUCUAACAGCAAAUCUUCAGUUUCCGGCUAUCUUAUCUUGAAGAAACCAACCGGAAAUUUCUCUUAAAACUGGUCCGAUUCAAGCUCUAAACUGCCUCUUGACGGCCACCGUUGCUAUUAGGUACGAUUCGCUGAUAUUUCCAAAACUUUAAACCCCAUCCCAACAGAGAUCACUGUACCGCUUCUCAUCUUUAGGUCGCUAUUGGCAGAGUGUUGUAAGACUCCUUUGAUUCUGAAAAGCUCGGUCUUGAUCUGUUACGGGUCCAUGGCAAGGUAGCCAGGCUUACAGUUUCCUUAUCAGCUCGAAGCUGAAUACGCUGUUAACGAAUCCAAACGAUCCAUCUUCUUCCCCAAAACAGUCGGGUCUGAUUAGGAUUUGCUCUCUUCCGAUGAACAACGGGUCAGACGAGUCCUGAGCCAAGAACCCGUAGAGAGAUUUCUAUGCCAAGUCAGCAACCAUCUCGGCUUCGGAGCAGCUCAAGACCUCUGCUAUUGAUUGAUCCACAAAAGAAGCAGCAUUAUGGGAUUGACCUUAAUAUUCACACACCUCAUGUUGAGAUGCAUGAGAAGCCUUCUUUUCUCGAAGCUGAAUAGCCACGAGCUAUCACCGAGUUAUGCAGUUUAAAUCAUAUUGAAGAAGCUGCUGUUCUCUGUAUGGAGAUUAUGUUUUGCGUCUAUCUCAGCACCACAAUGUCAAAGAAGUCACUGAAUGGUGUCUAAGGCAAGUGGAAUACCAAUUUCAGAGAUUCGUCAGCACAGUUUCUUGCUGUAUAACGAAGUUACGCAACACACACCGUCACAGGCUCACAGCAGUCAAGGGAAUGCUUACCAUAAUUUUUUUAAUAAUUGUGCUCUCAUUUGUCCUUUAGAGAUUAGCUAUGAUAUCUAGGCGCAACACAAGAUCUUUUCACUUCUCAAUCUGACGGUAUACUGUUUUGAUAAAUGAAUUGUUGCUAAGUGGGUUUGGUUUCCCUAAUAUUUUAGAGAGCUCAAAGAAAUAUUGAGGCUGGUCAAGAAAUACAGACAAUCCAGUGGAUUAUGGCGAACAUACGGAUUGACAGAGUAUUUGGAGUCGGCUUUUCUGGGCUUAGAUUGUGGAUGGAAUCACUUUGCUUUGAAGUAUAUGGUACAAGUUGAAUCUAUGUAUUUGAUCUUACAGAAGUGAAACCCAUUGUACGAUACAGUUUGGCGUCUUUGCAGAGAAACGAGAUGAAUGUGCAAGAGAGUACAGAGAAAGGAUGCAGUUUAUGGUGGCAGUUGGUGAUGUCCAGUUGGUUGGGUUCUUGGUUGUCUCGAUACAACUUGGCUCUAAAAAAUCUUCAAUCCAAAUUGUAACAAGAAACAUCUAGAUUCUACCAGAGACGAGCCAGGUUUUGAUUUGUCUACACUUGAUCGAUAUGGAGAAACUUCUUGGACAAUAAUUUGUAGCUAUUUUUUCUCUGAUUGACAUGGUUUUAAUAUCUCCAUUUGCUUAAAAUGCAGUAAGAUAUAUUCGUUGGUA
This is a long non-coding RNA of Raphanus sativus (radish), 1736 nucleotides long. RefSeq lists it as uncharacterized. The transcript has 6 exons. Lineage: Eukaryota; Viridiplantae; Streptophyta; Magnoliopsida; Brassicales; Brassicaceae. The record is from RefSeq and is a predicted model, not a curated record.